UGGGGAAUAUUGGACAAUGGGCGCAAGCCUGAUCCAGCCAUGCCGCGUGAGUGAUGAAGGCCUUAGGGUUGUAAAGCUCUUUCAGUGGGGAAGAUAAUGACGGUACCCACAGAAGAAGCCCCGGCUAACUUCGUGCCAGCAGCCGCGGUAAUACGAAGGGGGCUAGCGUUGUUCGGAUUUACUGGGCGUAAAGCGCACGUAGGCGGAUUGUUAAGUCAGGGGUGAAAUCCCAGAGCUCAGCUCUGGAACUGCCUUUGAUACUGGCGAUCUCGAGUCCGGAAGAGGUGAGUGGAACUCCUAGUGUAGAGGUGGAAUUCGUAGAUAUUAGGAAGAACACCAGUGGCGAAGGCGGCUCACUGGUCCAGAACUGACGCUGAGGUGCGAAAAGCGUGGGGAGCAAAACAGGAUUAGAUACCCUGGUAGUCCACGCCGUAAACUAUGAGAGCUAGCCGUUGGAUGGUUUACCAUUCAGUGGCGCAGCUAACGCAUUAAGCUCUCCGCCUGGGGAGUACGGUCGCAAGAUUAAAACUCAAAGGAAUUGACGGGGUCAUAGCUGUUUCCU
RNAcentral lists this ribosomal RNA (562 nucleotides) under uncultured bacterium. RNAcentral describes it as "partial 16S ribosomal RNA". It matches the Rfam family "Bacterial small subunit ribosomal RNA", at positions 355 to 1375 of the family's 1533-position model. The record is from RNAcentral.